Molecule: long non-coding RNA, 619 nt
Filed under: Marmota monax (woodchuck)
Lineage: Eukaryota; Metazoa; Chordata; Mammalia; Rodentia; Sciuridae
Source: RNAcentral
CUUUUUAUUGGAGGUGGGAAAUGCCUCAACCCAACCAGAGAAAGUGUCCACAAAGACAAGGAGGUAUUUAGUACGCCGUACUGUGGGCAUGUUGGUGAAAUCUACCUGCCAGUCAGCAGCAGGAACAUGUCCCCGGGCCUGGUGGGAGGGGAAUGGUUUGGGCCUUAAAGGAGUAUGAGUGUUGGUCUGCUGACAGAUCUGACAACUAGAGGCUAUAUUCUAUAGCAUGGCUUUGUCAGAGGAUGUGAGGGAGAAGAAGCUCUGUAAGAAGAAGGUUAAAGACUGAGAAUUGGAAUGGAAUAGAGUAUGGAGGAACUCGAAAAGGUCCUUGUUCUUACUGGAAGAAGUAGGGGCUUCAGAUGGACAGUCUAAAGUGACCAUUAUAUGUCUCCCAGAGGGGUCAUAAUUGGAAGUGGUAGCAGCCAUCUGUGCUGCCUGGUCAGCUUUGUCAUUGCCCUCAGUGAUAAGAGAGCCAUCCUUCUGAUGGGACCUACAAUGGACAACUCCCAACUGGGUGGGUAAGUGAGAGGCCUCUAUCAAAUUGGUUAUAAGAGCCUAAUUAGUGAUCGCAUUACUUUUAGUGGUAAGUAGGCCUCACUCCUUCCAUAUUGCAGCAUGG